UACGUAGGGGGCGAGCGUUGCCCGAAUUUACUGGGCGUAAAGCGCACGUAGGCGGCUUCGUAAGUCUGGUGUGAAAUCUCACGGCUCAACCGAGAGGCUGCACCAGAUACUGCGAAGCUCGAGGGCGGGAGAGGAGAUUGGAAUUCCCGGUGUAGCGGUGAAAUGCAUUGAUAUCGGGAGGAACACCAGUGGCGAAGGCGGCCCCCUGGACCAAUACUGACGCUGAGGUGCGAAAGCGUGGGGAGCAAACAGG
This 253-nucleotide ribosomal RNA is filed under the name uncultured bacterium. Its description in RNAcentral is "partial 16S ribosomal RNA". It matches the Rfam family "Bacterial small subunit ribosomal RNA", at positions 524 to 776 of the family's 1533-position model. The record is from RNAcentral.